Humulus lupulus (European hop) is the source of this 662-nucleotide long non-coding RNA. RefSeq lists it as uncharacterized. The record is from RefSeq and is a predicted model, not a curated record. Lineage: Eukaryota; Viridiplantae; Streptophyta; Magnoliopsida; Rosales; Cannabaceae. The transcript has 5 exons.
GCUCGGCAGGGACGGUGGCUGUGCAGGGAGGGGCUCGGGCUGGGACGGUGGCUGGGCUUGGCAGGGACGGUGGCUGGGUUCGGCAGGGACGGUGGCUGAGCUCGGGCUGGGACGGUGGCUGGGCUCGGCAGGGACGGUGGCUGGGCUUGGGGCUACUGUUACCGCACCAAUUAUUCCUAAAAACAUGGGAAUUUUUCCGCACCUCAAGUCGAUGACUUGGACCAUGGAAAAUUGCAGCUCGGACCAAGCAAAGAGAACGGCGGUCAUCACACUAAAGGUUUUUGAAAUAUGGGAACUAGCAAAACAGAAGUAAAUUUAAGAAGAUUACUUGUUGCUGCACCUAAACAGCAGAACCAAGGAAAGCUUGUUCAUGCUUUUGGGCCAUAACAAUAUCUAAUAGAGCAAAAAUGUGCAUAUGUAUAAAGGAAGUUGAAGAGUUAUGGAAGCAGGUCUAUAUUGAGAUGCAUAUCUUUGGCGCAAUACAAGACAACAUUGACAGUUGAAGUUUUUAGAAUAAAAAAUAUAUUUCACUAACAUUGGAUACAUUUCUUGUUUAAUAUUUGGUGAUGAUAAAAUUUGAUUAUAGUAUAAACUAUCAUGUAAUAUAAUUUUGUAAGUCGAGUAGACUAAAUACUGAAAUUAUAUUUUUGAGUAAUUAAUAA